AGCUGGAAUAUGAAAAAUAGAAGGGAAAGUGGUAAUGAAGUCAUCACUGACUUCCAGGCCCUGAGCCUGCUGACUCGGCAAGGAUGUGGGUGUUCUCCUUCACCAGACAGAAACGUUUCGUUUUGACGACACAAGCAGCCACCGGGGCUGCAGCCGAUCUGGAGGAGUAAGAGCUGAGUUGCAGAAGCAAUGCCUGCAAAUAAGGUGAAGAAACUAAAACCUCGAGAUCAAGAGACCUUCCCAAAGGUCACACACACUGCUAAAAAACCGCAGCCAGACCCUCUCAUACUGCCACAGUGUAGAGAAGAUGGAGUCUCACUGUGUCGUCCAGGC
Sapajus apella (tufted capuchin) is the source of this 333-nucleotide long non-coding RNA. RefSeq lists it as uncharacterized. The transcript is spliced from 3 exons. The record is from RefSeq and is a predicted model, not a curated record. Lineage: Eukaryota; Metazoa; Chordata; Mammalia; Primates; Cebidae.